RNAcentral lists this long non-coding RNA (538 nucleotides) under Mytilus galloprovincialis (Mediterranean mussel). The record is from RNAcentral. Lineage: Eukaryota; Metazoa; Mollusca; Bivalvia; Mytilida; Mytilidae.
AUGAAUUUGUAAUACAUAUAUUUCUAAAUCUUAUCUAGCUAAUUCUUUAAAAAUGGCGGUUUGAAUUUAUUUCAUUUUAGUUAACCCUCUUACUGCGGGAAGGACAUAUGUGUCCUCCCCUGGCUUACUGCGGGAAGGACAUAUAUGUCCUUUGUGUAAAAAAAAUAUUUUUCCCUUUCGUAAUAUUUCUGAAAAAAAAACCACCUUUCUUUCAAUUAUUGUAUACAUUUUAUAUAUUUUAUUCAUCAUGUGGUUAUUUUUUUUGUUGUUGUUUUCUUUUUACCCAUCUUUUUCAUGAAAUGUCAUCAUUACGUCAUAUAACGUCAUAUAUUAAUUGACCUCAUUCGACGUCGUUAUUGAUUUGACGGCAUGAUAUAAUACCGCUAUGAAAUUAACUAUUUUUAUGCUGUUAUUGAUAAGAUAAAAAAAAGAAUCAUAGUAUGAAAAAGAAGGGAAAAAGAACCCAACAUCAACAAAUGAUCAUUAAGCAAUACAAACAAAACUAUUUGCUAAUUGGUUUUAGUUUUUGUACCCAACA